UGCAGGGCCGUAGGCUAAUAUGCCCGAGAGCGAAGGCCAUUUACAUUUAUGCCCCCCGUCGACGCUGCAUUUGUAAUAAUUUGCAAACUGUGCUCAAAGCAAUUCUUUAGAUGCGGGAGUGAAAAUUACUGAGCUUGGACUUGAUGUUUGGUACCAGUGAAUGACAAGAGCCUUGCGUCCUGAGUCCCUGACCGGCUUCAGCCAGCUUAAGCUCGUCAAGAUUGUCCAAUGAAGAAUUAUGAGUAUUGGAGCAGUAAACUUAAAGCAGAAAUUAGCAAUUUGGAUGUGAUGGAUUCGGAAACUGAUGCCAAUUGUUGACACUAUUCGGCGUUGGAGCUCCCUUUGAGUUUGGAGAGUGAACAUCCAUUCUUUCUUCGGAGAUCAUUGUUCUGAACACUGCCACAUUCUUUUCUACCCAACUGCCUGGUGAGUGAUCCUUAAAUCAUAACAUAUUGCUUGUCCAAUAUUAUAAUUGUACUAGGCAGAGACAUAUUGUUUAUUACAUUUGCUCAAAAUAUCGUACAAUAGACACUUAAAAGUAGGGCCCUGUAAUAUUUUUUGAAUUAAAUUUUGGAAUGCAACCAUUGCAUACGCUGUCUGUGAGCUGCUUCGGCCAGACUCUGCUCGUGGUUUGAGUUAAUCGGAUUGCCGCCCUGAGUGCCCCAUCUGCUGUGAGCUUGCAUAGGCCAACUGCUGCGAUGAAAUGUGGGAGUCAGUGUAUUGUCUGUGAGCUGCUUCGGCCAGACUUUGCUUAUGGUGUGAGCUGACGUAGUGGCCGCCUUGAGUGUUGUUUAAUGUUGGACCAGCCUGA
Thrips palmi is the source of this 811-nucleotide long non-coding RNA. RefSeq lists it as uncharacterized. The record is from RefSeq and is a predicted model, not a curated record. Lineage: Eukaryota; Metazoa; Arthropoda; Insecta; Thysanoptera; Thripidae. The transcript is spliced from 3 exons.